CAUGACGUUAAUUUUCCGUUAACG
Molecule: non-coding RNA, 24 nt
Filed under: Arabidopsis thaliana (thale cress)
Lineage: Eukaryota; Viridiplantae; Streptophyta; Magnoliopsida; Brassicales; Brassicaceae
Source: RNAcentral